CCUACGGGUGGCAGCAGUGGGGAAUAUUGGACAAUGGGGGCAACCCUGAUCCAGCCAUGCCGCGUGUGUGAAGAAGGCCCUCGGGUUGUAAAGCACUUUCAGUGAGGAAGAACGCCUGGUGGUUAAUACCCAUCAGGAAAGACAUCACUCACAGAAGAAGCACCGGCUAACUCCGUGCCAGCAGCCGCGGUAAUACGGAGGGUGCGAGCGUUAAUCGGAAUUACUGGGCGUAAAGCGCGCGUAGGUGGCUUGAUAAGCCGGUUGUGAAAGCCCCGGGCUCAACCUGGGAACGGCAUCCGGAACUGUCCAGCUAGAGUGCAGGAGAGGAAGGUAGAAUUCCCGGUGUAGCGGUGAAAUGCGUAGAGAUCGGGAGGAAUACCAGUGGCGAAGGCGGCCUUCUGGACUGACACUGACACUGAGGUGCGAAAGCGUGGGUAGCAAACAGGAUUAGAUACCCGAGUAGUC
Molecule: ribosomal RNA, 465 nt
Filed under: Vreelandella stevensii
Lineage: Bacteria; Pseudomonadati; Pseudomonadota; Gammaproteobacteria; Oceanospirillales; Halomonadaceae
Description: partial 16S ribosomal RNA
Rfam family: Bacterial small subunit ribosomal RNA
Source: RNAcentral